AUUUGGUGUUAAUUGCAGCCCGUCUAAACUAUUUUGGCUUGUUCUCAAUUAUCUUUUCGGUUCAUCUUGGUUUCAUACUAGUUUGUUAUAAAAUAUUAUUUUGUAUUGAUUGCUGUGGAUACAAUAAGAAGUAUCAUAGCCAUUAUAUGUGCAAUAUGGCUAUGAGAACAGCCUUAUAUAAUAGCCACUAGAAAACCUAUACAUUUUUACGGCCAACAAAAUAUAUAUAUAUAUAAAUGAAUUAAUGUAGUACAUAUUUCGGGGGA
RNAcentral lists this long non-coding RNA (266 nucleotides) under Elaeis guineensis (African oil palm). Its description in RNAcentral is "long non-coding RNA (EGUI_LNC031061)". The record is from RNAcentral. Lineage: Eukaryota; Viridiplantae; Streptophyta; Magnoliopsida; Arecales; Arecaceae.